AGCGAACGCUGGCGGCAGGCUUAACACAUGCAAGUCGAGCGGGCAUCCUUGUGGUGUCAGCGGCAGACGGGUGAGUAACGCGUGGGAACGUGCCCUUCGGUUCGGAAUAACUCAGGGAAACUUGAGCUAAUACCGGAUACGUGCGAGAGCAGAAAGGUUUAUCUGCCGAAGGAUCGGCCCGCGUCUGAUUAGCUAGUUGGUGAGGUUACGGCUCACCAAGGCGACGAUCAGUAGCUGGUCUGAGAGGAUGAUCAGCCACACUGGGACUGAGACACGGCCCAGACUCCUACGGGAGGCAGCAGUGGGGAAUAUUGGACAGUGGGGGCAAGCGUGAUACAGCCAUGCCGCGUGAGUGAUGACGGCCUUAGGGUUGUAAAGCUCUUUUCUCCGGGACGAUAAUGACGGUACCGGAGGAAUAAGCCCCGGCUAACUUCGUG
Molecule: ribosomal RNA, 437 nt
Filed under: uncultured bacterium
Lineage: Bacteria
Description: partial 16S ribosomal RNA
Rfam family: Bacterial small subunit ribosomal RNA
Source: RNAcentral